UUAAGGAAAGGGGUAACCGAACAUGAAGAAAAGAAAGAAAGGGAACGAAAUCCCUAAAUCCAUUUCUUCUUCUGUCAAGAGUGGCUUUUGGUCUUCACGGAAUUUGAGUGAAGCUUUCAUUGUUGGAAAUUGAAGGUAAUGAUUUUGGUUUUCUUGUUUUAUAAGACUUUGGAAUCUGAAUGCCUACUUCUCUGUGUUAUAUGUUCUCUUUCUGAUUUUUCACCCUUUCUGUCUAUUGUGUUGUUUUUUCUUGUUCCGUGUGUGUUUUCUGUUUUUAUGUUGUGUUUCAAUAUGCUACCUCUGUGUGUUUUUUCUGUUCUUCAAUAUGUUACUCUCUCUUAUAUGGUUUCUCUGUUUUUGUUGCACUGCCUCCUUUUUUUUAAUAGCUGAUUGUGGUUUUACUCAUACUAGUUGGUGUACAAAGUAUCUAAAAUAAAAUAUAUUUGAAUGCUUGAAAAAUGUAUUAAAAAAUUAAUGAAUGAAACUUAAAAAGUAAAUACAAAAAUUGUGUAUAAUAGUUUGAUAUUUUUCAAACUUUGACAAUAGCCAUGCAUAAUUCUUCUUGGAUACGGAAAGACCAUACUUGAAUCCUAUCGUUUACUUUGAGUUGAUUAGCUUUUAUGACUUUCUUCCACGAUGAUGACCUCAAAACAUAGCUAGAGCUAACCUUGCCAUCAUUCUUGCGCAUAUUCCACUUAGCCAACGUGAGAUUAGUAACUUCGAGUGAGGGCUGGAUCAGUUUCACCUCUAUGCAUUUUCCUCCCUCUAAAUCAUCUAGUUCCCCUUCUCGCACGAAAUUUUCAUUCUUGAUCUGCUUCGAAGGUAUUGAAAGCCGAUUUUGUUGUUCAUUCAAAUCUGAAUCAAACAAAGAUUUAGUAAUCAGCAACGUGGUUUCGUUGCCGCCCAUUUCAUUAAUCUUAUCUAUGAACUCUUGUGGCAAUUCAGAUGGCGCUGCUACAACUACUAAGUUAAAUCUUUGUCUUUUUUUGCUGCUGCUAGCUGCUGAUUUAUUUGGAGGUGGCUUUACAGGGACCCAGUCUUGAUCAAUAACAUCAGCAUUCUCUGUGCCAUUGAUAAUUGCUUCAUUUUUGCCCUUCAUAGCUCUCCUUUUCAUCUCUUUUAUAGGAAUAUCUUCUUCAUCAUCCUUGUAGUUCAAUUCAGCUUUAGAGCUGGUUCCUUCUUCAAAGGAAGAAGCCAUGAAGUUGAUGGGUUUAUUGGAAUUGGAAGCUUCCUCAGAACCAUCAUUUGGACUCUCCUUCACUGUUUUUGUUUUCAUAUUGAACCUGAUCUUAAGGGAAGGAGUAGAAGAAGUUGUAUCUUGAUGGUGUAGUCCAGAGGCUACAUCAGCCAACAUGUUCAAUGCAGAACACAAUGGGUCAAGAUAGAGUAAAGGGUUAUUAAUGGAGUCAUCACAAUCCAUUGUUGUUACUAUCUCAGAGCUUGGAUGAUUUUUAAGGAACAAGAGGAAAGAAUGUGAAAUGAUAUUUGGAGAGUGACGAGUUUACAAUUUAGGAACGCAUAGCUUUCUUUUAUAGUUUACUAGAGCGGUAGAUAUGAUAUAUUUUUGUAUAUUUCAAAAUUAUCUUUGUAACAGAAAGUAAAAUAGAAACAAAUCUCACUGUUAUCUUUAUUUAUCAACAAUCUCACUCUUAUUUUGUAUAAACAAAUCUUUAUGAUAUUUUAUAUACAAUGUUAAUGAUAUAUUUUCUGCAAACAAAUCUUAAUGAUAUAUUUUUUAUAAACAAGUCUUAAGAGAACCUUCCCCUCCGCAAAGUUAUUUAUUUUCCCAUACAACAAAUGAUAUAGAAAUAAUGUCUUUUAAUAUACAAACUAAUGAAAUAGAAGGGUACCCAUUUACAUAGAUAGCAUAAAGAACUUAGUCUAAUAAAAAUAUUACAUAUGAAAUACCAACUACAUGCAUAGAUAACACCAUUUGUAGAUCCAUAAAAAACCAUACUAUACAACCAAAUCAAAACACUAAACACUCCACUCCUUCCAUUUAUUGGAACCAAAAUAGUAUGAUGUAUGAUGAAUGUUUAUUUUAGGGUGUUACUAAUUAAGUUGUACUUAAAUAUUUAAGCUUCAGUUGUACUUAAUUAUUUUUUUCUUCAAAUUAAUAUCUUAGAUCAUUAAUGAUAUCUACGUAAUUACUAAAUAAUGAAUGUAGUAUAUGUAUAUAAUGGAUAACUUCAAUAGUCAUAAUAAAAAAUAAUUUCAAUAGUUACAAGAAAUGAAAUAUUUGUAAUGAUUAUAAUUAUAUUACCUCUAUGUACUAAUAGAUAAAACAAUAUUAUUAAUAAAUUAGUCUCCAUAACUCAUGUUAGAGGGAUAAGAUUAAUGAGAUGGAGAAUUAAUAUCUUAGUUCAUUAAUCAUAUCUACCUAAUUACUAAUUUGUUAUUGUCUUAUUUCCUCUAUUGGCUAUAAAUUUUAAAUUAAAAACUUUUAUAUUCUAGAGUGGGUAUCCAGUUACACCAAUAGUAAGUUUAAAAAACGUAUUCCUCAUCAUAGCCAUCAAUUCUAUGGACAUCUGAUGAUUUAAAUCUACUCACUAAUUAAAAUCAUUAGAUUUCCCUAAAAUUAAUAGUUAUAAUGAGAAAUAAAUUUAAAAAACUUACUCUUAAAAUAAGUAAAUACUUCCCCUUCACUAUAUACAUUUAUAUACAUCACUCCAAAUUAAUGAAAGAAGAUUCUUUAUUUCUCUGUAGUACAUGUAUAUUAAUAUGAUGGAUAACUUCAAUAGUUAUAAUAAAAAAUAUCCAAAUUAAUGAAAGAAGAUUCUUUAUUUCUCUGUAGUACAUGUAUAUUAAUACGAUGGAUAACUUCAAUAGUUAUAAUAAAAAAUAACUCCAGUAGUUUACAAAAAUGAAAUAUUUGUAAUUAUUAUAAUUAUAUAUAAUUUCUUUUAUAUAGUUUGCUUUGAUGUUUCCUAUCUAAAACAAGAUUACUAGACCUAGAGAAGAUUACCUCUGUGUAUUAAUAGAUAAACAAAAAUAUUAUUAAUAAAUUAGUUUCGAUAAGUCAUGUUAGAGGGAUAAGAUCAAUGAGAUAGAGAGUUACAUAUAUCUUCAGCCUUUAUUGAUAAUGAAUUCUAUAAGAGUUGAUUUAGAUUUUUACAAUUUAUUUGAUUUCUAUUUUAUUUCAUUUUUAGGCAAAUCAAAGAGGAUUAUACAUUAAUUAAACUGGGAGAUAUUAAUGACAAACUUCAAAAACUUUUUUAUCUAAAUCCUAGCUCAAUUUUAUCAAUAAAUUUAAAUUAAUCCAAAAAUGGAAGGGCUUAAGAUGAUAAAUGUUAGGCUUGGAGAGAAUGAGAGAUACACAAUGUGAAAACCAAUGUGGAUCAAAAGUAUAUAGCAGAUUAGUGAGGGAUAAUAUUAGUGAUUUUUUUUCAUUUUUUUUAUUAAAAUGUUUAUUUAGUAGAAUUAUCCAUUUAAUUUUCCAUAGCAGAAUUUAUAAUUCUAAACCAAUUCCAAUGAAUUGGAAAUAUAAUUACAAUAGUUUUAUAGUAAAUAUCUCAAUUUGUGAAAUAAAAUGAAUUGAUUUGUAUUACUAAUAUCAAGGUUAAUUAAAUUAAAUAUUUGUUUCCUCCAAUUUUUACUUGAUUUUUAAAUAAUUUCAUACUGGUAAGUUUUAAGAUUUAAUUUUAAAAAACAUCAAAAUUCGGAAGAAAAAAAACUUAUAUAAGUAUGGGAAUCUGUUUAAUUAUUUAAAAAAAAUAUUACAUGUUUUAAUAUGAUAAUCUAGGCAUCAAAAGAUUAAUUUAAACAACUUUGAACUAGGGUAAGAUUAUUUAUAUAGUAGAUUGUAUCAAUUAUGGAUAAAAAAUCGAACUAUUUUCUUGUGAAAUUUGUUCAAGUAUCAUUAUCAUUAUUUUAAUUUGUUUAUAUUUCCAAUAUUAGGUUUGGUGUUUAGUAGUAUUAAUUAAUAAUAUUUGUAUUAAAUUAUCUAUUUGAUAUUAGUAGUUGUUUAGACAAAACAUUAAAACAAGUUUCUUUUCAAAGUUUUAUAUUAUUUCUAUGGUAGAAAGGCAAUUUUUCAUCCGUUCAAUUUUAAUGUAAACUUUUUAGUUUUCGAAUUUUUUAUAUUAUGUGUUAUUUUCUAAUAUCAACGUGUACUAACUUUUUUGUCCUUAUUAAAUUAAUUAAAGUGUAAUAAUUUUUAGAAAGAGUUACUAGACAUAUUUUAAUUAUAUUAGUUAGCAACACAUUUAAUAAUUGUUUUAUGUUGUAUUUAUUAUGUUAAAUGAUAUUUAAAAUGUGAGGAAAGAAGUAUUAAAUUAAGAUUAAUGAAUUCUAUUACAAGGUGUUGAGAAUAGUCAGUAUAAGGUCAUUAGAAGUGUGUUUAGUACAAUGUUGUUAUUAAGGUAUUGUUUGGCAAUGUGAGCUUGCAUCUUUUUGAGGAAUCUUGUAGUUUUUUGAUCCAAUCAAUAAGUUAUGAGAAUGAUACUGUAAACUAAAAUUGAAUAGGUCUUGUAACUUUUAAAAAAUAAACUUAUAGUGUUUGGAAUUUAAUUUUUAGAAGCUACUUGAAGUAGUGUUUUAAAAAUGAAAGUUGUUUAAAAAAAUUUGUUUACCAAUUUAAUCCUUCAAAAUUUUAAAAAUUACAAUAUUUUUAUAAUAUAUAAACAAUCAAGCUUUUAUCCCUCUAAAAAAACUAUUAUUUUUAUAAUUUAUAAAUUAUUUUUACAUUAAAGUUUUAGUGAUGUAUAAACUAUUCUUACAUUUGAUUUUCAAACGAGUUUAUCAAUUAUUUUGAUAUUAUAUUAUUUUAACGAUGUAUAGUGUCAUCACUAGAAAAAUACUAUAAAAUUAUGCAACUUAAUUGUAUUUUUAGGAGAGCAAACUCUUGAAAACAACCAAAACAUAUAUUAAAGGAAAUAAAAAAAUAAAUAACUAUGUAUCGAAAUAAACUACCUAAAUAAAUAGAUAAAUAAAUAUAGUAUAUAUUCUUUAGUUAUUUUUUAAAUUUCAACCAGUUACAAAGCUAGAAUUUACUAAACACCUCUACUUUAGUAAGUUAUCUACAUAGCUAGAAGGUACAAGCUCACAACUACAAGCUAUAAACUCACAAGGAUAAGCUAGUUUUUUCAAAGACCCUAUAUCUAGAAAAGAAAAAGGAAAGAAAGCAAGAUUAGGUUAUAGAAUUUAAUAUCUACUUCUGAUUUUUUUUUACACAAUCACCUUAAUAUUCAUUAUUCAUGUGUUAAUUAUUAUUUAUUUUAAAUUAAAAUUGUAUAAAUAAAAAAUUGAUAAUAUAUUGACUAUGUAAACAAAUUACACUAAUAAUACAAAAGUUUAAAAUCUAUGUACUGAGAGUGUAAUGUUUUUAAACUGUUAACAUAUCAUCCAUUAUUGUUUUGUAUAAUUUUUGUUUGAGAGUCAAAAAUGGUUAACAAAUCAAUGAUGAAUGAUUUAUUGAUAGUAUAAAGAAAAUAAUACAAAGAUAUCAAAGUUUCCUAUAUUGUUGCUUGAGGGGGAGAAUAGUGACUAGUAUUAUCAAGUUAGAGUAGUUAGUUAUUCAGAUAUAUUUUUAACAAAAAUACAAAAUCUUUUGAAAUCGUACUAUUUUCUUUGAUGAGUUUUGACAAACUUACUCAAUAAAACUUAUUUUCAUCAUUUUAUAUUAUAUGGGUUCUGAUACUUAUACUCACUUAAUUAAUUCUUAAUUAAAUUUUAGUAAUUAGAGAUUAAAUACAAUAGUAACUAUAUGGAUUUUCAUUUAUAUAGCUUACAAUAUUUUUUUUAAUUCCAGCUUAAUAGUUGAUGAUAAAAAAUUAAAAUAAAAUAAAGUAGGCUUAUUGGAAAAUAAAGUUUUCGGAAAGGUCGAGUCUUAGGUAUCACGAUCCGACUUUUAGUUGGAAGGUCGAGUCUAUAACUUAAGAAGAGAAAAGUUCGAUUUCUACCUCUUUCAAUUGAUUUAGAAUCGUUACUAUAUUUUUUACAAUUAAGACGUAGAAAACUCUAUUUUUUGUCAAAUUUGGUCUUUUGAACUUGAGUUAUGAGGACAUAACUAAUUAUGGAUCGGUACCCUUACUAAUAAUAUGAACUUUUAUAUCCUUAAAAAUUAUUUAAUAAAAAUUUUAAUCUCUAAAUCAAAAAAAUUUAUGUUUUAUAUUUGUGAAUGACAAGCGCUCAUCGUGCCUCCUACAUAUCCCUAAGUGCAAUAGGAGAAUCAAUACUACAUAGUUCUGUUUUGAAAUGGUUAAUUUGUUUUUUUGUUUCCCACAUGUAUCAUCGCACUGAAUGCAGUCUUACACGAACCGGGAACAUCCAUACGUAUGUGGGGAUAACUCUCUCAGUGUUAAGUGCCAAAUUGUGAGUAAAAUGUAUAUGAAUUUGGGGCACUUAGUGUAUAGUAAGGAUACAAAUUGGGUACAACUCCUAACAACUUAGUCUAAUUUUAUCUUGUUUAGGAAUUUACAAAUGUUUAUGUCAAUUGCAGAAUAAAAAGUAUGAAAAAGAGGAGAAAAAGUAGAAGUUUGGAGUUUUUGAACACUGCUCCCCUCGUCUGAGCCACAACCUCACCCAAGCAAGAAGAGAUUCCCUCGCCCAAGCGAGGGACUCUCGCUCAAGCGAUCGUUAAAGAGGAAAAAAUGUGACACUCUACCUAGGCCUCGCCCAAGCAAAAAGGAAGUCCCUCAUCCAAGCGAGGGACUGUCACUCAAGCAACGAAUGGAGAUGGAAAGGGCUGAUUCUCUGCAUGAUCAUAAACACCAAAUCUUGUAAAUACAUACUCAAUCUCAUUUCUAAAGAAUUGAUACAAAUCCACUUUGCUCUCUGAGGAUGAUAUCCCGAUAUUUACCAGUUAUUACUUGAACGAUACGGUUCAGUUGUUGUACGAAAAUAUUUAACAAGUUUUUGGCGCCGCUGCCGGGGAGCAAUGAGCGAUUUAUAGUAGUUCUAUAGCAAGUUUAUUGAGUAUUGUAAAUAUUUAUUUUUAAUUUUUGUAGUAUAAUUAACCUUUGUGCUAACCUUUGUUGUUGUCUGCUUAUUUAUGCUUUUGCGAGGUAAGGCUAUCGAAGAACAACUACAGUACAAUCUAGAAAUCGAGAAACCAGCCAAAAGCAACCAUAAGAAAGCAAAAGAGAAUAGGAAGCAAGAGACUCAGGAAGCACAUGGUAGCUCUAAACAAUCAAUAAAUUCAGAGCCUCAGUACGAGAAAUGGAGAAUGCCAAUGCUACUACAGGGAAUAAUGAGAGGCCUAAUCCUCCAAGGAGGACGUUGGGUGAUUAUGCAAUGUAUCAAGGUCUAAGGCACUACUAAAUCAUUAUUAUUCCACACACAGAGAGAACAGUGGAAAUUAAGCCAACAUUCCUGAAUCUGGUUAGUGCACAUCAAUUCUCUAGGAAGGAUUACGAAGAUCCUUAUGCACAUCUAGACAACUUCUUUGAACUAGUGGCAACAAUAGGUUAUACUGAUGCUGAAAGAGAAGCUGCAUACAUGAUGUUGUUCCUAUUCUCUCUGUUGGGCGAAGCUACGGAUUGGCUAAAAUCCCAUAUGUUGGCAUUUGUUCCUAUUCUCUGUGUUUCAUGAAGCUACAUACAUUUGACUAGGUUUUUUCCGCCAGCUCGUUAUGUGUAUGCCAAAUUUGAAAUAUCCACUUUUAGAUAAGGCGUAGAUGAAGCAUUUUAUGAAGCCUAUGAGUGUUUUCAUGUGCUACUGAGAAAAUGCCCCAAUCAUGCUUUUGAGGAUGUGGAUCAGCUUAAUAUAUUCUACAAUGGGUUGAAGCUUGAGACCAAAAUAAUACUAGAUGCAGUAGUUGGUGGAACAAUGAUGGUUGUGGAUGUUGAACAAGCUACAAGAAUCAUAACUGUCCUAUCUUUAACAGAUAGAUAAGCACAACACAAUCAGAAGACAAUACAGAAAAAGGGAAUGCUUAAUUUGAAUACAUCUGAUGCUAUUCUAGCACAUAAUAAAAUUUUGACUCAACAGAUAGAAGCACUUACCAAGCAAAUGUCAAAGUUACCACAACAACUCCAUGUUGUACAAUCUACUCCGAGUCCACCAGUGCUGAGAUGUGAUUUUUGUGGAGGUGAUCAUGAAAAUGGUAACUGUUCUAUGCCUAACAACAAUCUAGAGGAAAAGGUUCAAUAUGUAAAUAAUCAACCUUGUCAGGGAAACUUUCCCAACAAUUCUUCAUAUAACAAUCAGUUAUCGCAAGGUUGGAAAGAAAAUCAGAACCAGAAUUAUGGUUGGAGGCAAGAAGUAGGAUCAUCCACUAGGUAACCACCAUUUCAACCAUCAUACUAGCAGGAUCCACACCCACCAUUGCAUGAGAGACAAACAAAAUUAGAAGACACUUUGGAGAAAUUCAUGCAAGUCUCCAUCAUAAAUCAGAAGAAUACUGAUGCUUUUAUCAGAAAUCUAAAGACACAAGUGGGGCAAUUAGAAAAGAAGAUGGCAAAACAACAUUCUGACCCUAAAAUUUUUUCCGCCAAUACCCAAACCAACCCUAAGGGACACUGUAAAUCUACCACUACUAGAAGUGGGAAGGUAAUUGUUUGGGGUAUUGGUGAAAAUUUGGUGGUUGAGGAGGAAGUCAUUGAGGAAACAGAGGCUGAGAAAAGAGAUAAUGUAAUCAAAGAGACACAAAAGGGUAAACAUGUACAGGAAGAGGAUAAAAUUGCAAACACGGAGGAAUCAAUGAGGGAGAAUAAUGACAAGAGGAAGAAUGGUAUGCCUCUACUAAAGGUUCUCCCUUAUCCUACGAAACCUUCUAAAAAAGAUAAGGAAAGAUAGUACACUAGGUUCAUGGAUUUAUUCAAGAGCCUACAAAUCAACAUUCCCUUUAUGGAAGCUAUGGAACAAAUGCCAACAUAUGCAAAGUUCAUGAAGGAUUUGUUGACGAAGACAAGAAAAUUUUCAGAAGAAACAGUGACAUUGGAAGCUAGAUGUAGUGCGAUUAUUCAGAAGUCUUUACCUGAGAAGACUAAAGAUCCAGGCAGCUUUACAAUAUCGGUCACUUUAGGUGAGUUAUCUAUAGGGAAGGCACUGCUUGAUUUAGGUUCUAGUAUUAAUAUGAUGCCCUUGUCCAUGUUAAAAAGAAUUGGGGAUCUAGAGAUAAAGCCUACCAGAAUAACACUGCAACUUGCUGACAGAUCACUGAAGUACCCAUAUGGAGUUGAUGAAGAUGCUUUGGUCAAGGUGGAUAAAUUGGUAUUCCUUGUGGAUUUCAUCAUAAUGGAUAUCGAAGAGGACAAUGAAGUUCCUCUAAUUCUGGGCAUACCCUUUAUGAAGACUGCUCGGAUGAUUAUUGAUGUGGACGAUAGUAAGUUGAAAGUGAGGGUACAAGAUUAGGAAGUGAAUUUUAAUGUAUUUGAGGUAAUGCGGCAACCCAAGGACAAGCAACAUUGUUUUAGAGUGAAUGUCAUUGAAGAAGUGUACAUGCAUGAUGACAUUCACCUGAGUAGAAGUAGUCCACUGGAAAAAGCUUUGAGAGAAAAAAUGUAAGAAAGCAAUAUAGAGAAGAAAAAGAAGAUUGAGACAUGUCUGGCAGAGUUAGAGGCAUCUCGAGAGGUUGCAUCUGGUCAGAAUCACAUUGCAGAAUUAGUCAAAGAGAAGGAAAUUGAAAUUUCGAAGGUGGAGCUAAAACUGCUUCCUUCACAUCUUAAAUAUGUGUUUUUGGAAGAUGGAGGAAAUAAACCGGUCAUAAAAUCAACAACACAUUAUCAUAUGCAGAAGAAAAACAAUUGAUAGAUAUGCUAAAGAAAAAUGCAGGGGCUAUAGGUUGGACACUAUUUGAUUUGCAUGGAAUUAGUCUUUCAUACUGCAUGCACGAAAUCCAUAUGGAGCAGGACUACAAACUAGUUGCUCAACCUCAAAGUCGUCUCAAUCCUACAAUGAAAGAUGUGGUGAAGAAGGAGGUGAUGAAACUUCUGGAUGCAGGAAUGGUUUACCCAAUAUCUGAUAGUACAUGGGUGAGUCCGGUUCAAGUGGUUCCAAAGAAGGGAGGAAUGACUACGGUGAGGAAUGAAAAAAAAAUUUGAUACUUACUAGAAUAGUCAUAGGCUGGAUUAUGUGUAUUGAUUACAUGAAGUUGAACCAGGCUACCGAGAAGGAUCAUUUCCCUCUACCAUUUAUGGAUCAGAUGAUUGAAAGGCUAGUUGGACAAGUAUUCUAUUGCCUUUAAGAUGGGUAUUCAGGAUAUAAUCAUAUCACUAUGGACCCAUAUGAUAAAAAAAGAUAGUUUUCACAUGUUAUUCGGACUGUGCAAUGCACCAGUCAUAUUUCAAAGGUGCAUGUUGUAACACCGUGAAUUUUCAAUGUAUAUUGUAGUAAUUAUUUAUUUUAACAAAAAAUUAUUUUAGAAAUUAAUUAGUAAUGAUUUAUGCUAAACCUUAGUUGAGUGUUAGUCUUGUAUAUAGAAUUCCUAUUUUUUGGUAAAUUUUUGUAAUUAUCUGUGACAGAAAGUUUUUAGACUGCUGUCGGGCCCAAAUUCUCCGAAUUCAGUCCGAUAACGUGUUUUUGAGUUUCGUAUCUCGAAAUUGAAUUUCGAUUGCGCCAUUGGCUUCGAAAUAUUAUUUCGAGUCAAGAUAGACAUCAAGUUUGUCCAUGACGCAUUUCUAGAUAUUUUUCACUUUGAAUUCUAUGUUCGAAAUUCUAACCGUAAACAAAAAUCGGAAGAUUUUUAAUAUCAAAUCGAUUAUUAGCCGAUAAUACUCGGACAUGAUUUAAGCGUUAAUGUUUCAUCGAAGAGGUCACUUCACUUUCACGAGUGAACCUUGCUUGUCAAGCAAGCAAAAAUAUUCAUUUCUUACACAAAACCCCUUAAACUUAUCAUCUACCCAUCACACCAUUAUUAUUUGAAAACCUUUGAUUUGCCCUCCCUAAACAAGAUUCAUUACCUUAAAAGAGUCCCUCUCACUUGGAGAACCCUUGACAUUUCAUUUCUUUCUUUUUCAUUCGGAUUUUCUCAAGAACUCCAAGGUAAGUUCUUAGUUUCCGUUCUUCAUCUCUUAAAAUCUAACCGUUAGUUGUUUACAAAAUUUUAGUAUGAUGUUUAUACGCAUGUUACAAACGUUUUCAACCGUAGAAACUUUCUAAUAAUCUUCCUAACUCUUGUUUUACUCAAGAACUCAAAAAAUGGAUUUUCGUGAAUUUAGAAAUUGUUGUUUUGAAACCAUGAAAUCUUGUUGUUCAUGGGGUUGUUUUAGUGUUUAAAAACAUGCAUGUUGUUGAUUUUGAUGAAAUAAGAUGAUGAAAUCAAGGCUCUCUUGAUUUAGAAUGUCGUUUUGAGCAUGAGAUCAACCAUUGUAAAGAAGGUGUUGGAAUGAUCAAGAACACGAUAUGAAUCGUGAACGAGACUUUCGAGGAUAAAGGAUGGUUCAAGAAUAUGAAUCUUGGAUCGCAUGGAUGAAAGUCUCGGAUGUUCUUAAAAUAGAUUAACAUGAUGUCUUUAUCUUAAAGUAGUAGGAAAACCAUUUAACUCGCAAAUCACUAAUUGGGUUUUGUGUUUAGUUUCGAGGCGUUCGAAGUCGGACAACCUACUCAUUCACGUAAAAGAGAUCAACCGCGUUUCAAACCAAGGUGAGGGAGAAUACAUCGUGACAUAGUGGUGUCCGAAUAUGACACCCGGAUCUCCCAACUACCUCAAAAGUUGGGAGCUAUAUUUAUUUUUAUUUAGAAAUUCGUACUUAACCAAAUGAUUGUGUGCGUGGAUUAAGUAAGGAUGAUUUCUUAAGCUGUAUGCCCUAGGAUAGUUUAAAAUAUCAAGUAUUGUGUUAGUUAUCCAUUAAGGAGCACCACUCGAGAAACUAAAAUGCGUAGGGAUCGAAAACAACGGAGAUUUUCAAUCCGGUGGCCCAAACGGGCAAGGAAGUAGUCUUGGCUGCUGGACCUCCUCACCUAGGUGAGGAAUAAAUAGUAGUCCUAGUCCCCAAUGGUCACUUGGGUGAUCCAACCUCGCUUGAGCGAGUGGUUCUCGCUUGGGCGAGGGCUAGUCAGGCGUUUUGCCUAUUCUGGUCGCCCGAGUGAUAGUAUCUCACCCGGGCGAGACCCAGACGGCGGUUUUGACUAGUUUUUGGUGGAUUUUUUGCUUGAGCAAGAGCCAUGCAGGGAAUUGAGUCUGUUUUGAUGAAAUUAUCGCUUGAGCGAGAGACAUGCAAUGUUUUUUAUUGCUUAUUAUUGGUUGAUUGGUUAGCCAAUAACCCUAGCUUGGGUGAGAAUUAUAUAUAAUAAUUGGGAGAGAUCGUGGCUCGAACCAAGAACCCGAUGCCCGAAGCAACAAACUUAUAUAGUUACUUUUGUUCUUGCACCUUAUGCGGGCAAGGAUUCUGACGAUGAUGUCAUGAGCAAGGUGAUUCCUAAAAAGGAUUACAUGAUAUCAUGCAGCAAGGUCAUCUGAUCAUAAGAGGCUUGGCCAUGUGGUCGUCCAAGAUAAUUCAGCGAUGGUUCGUAGUGGUAGGAUGUUAUUUCUCUAUUACGUGAUAACGUAAGAUCGGAUCCCAUAAGAAGCAUUCAUUUGGGAGAUGUCUUAGGAUGGGCCAAUCGUUUUAAAAUAAUGAUUAAAAGAUUUAAUCGCCUAACCUCGGUUAGUGUGCAUACUCAUUACUAAUAAGGAAGUAGUGGAAAUAAAAUUUACGGGAGACAAACGAGCCCCGCGAUGUUGAGAGGGGCGGCGAUGUUGGUGAUUCGUCACCAUAGUCUUGAGGGAGAGUCUAGGUGAGACGAGUCCCUUGUAUUCCUGGAUGAGGUAUUUUGCUGGAUCGGACAGUUCUCACGGUGCAAACUAGACGAUCUCUAACAACCCAUCUUUGCAAUUAGGAUCAAUGAGAGGGAUGUCCAGAAAGUGUUUGAUACGACACCGUCUUGAAAUGGACAGUUCUUUGGAAUCGAUUGAUCAUAUAUCCUUGUAAGGAAUAAUUUUUGGUCCAUUCAAAUCGGCUUGUUAUGAGACUUGUACUCGUGGUUAUUUCCGAUUAGUAUAUUGGGAUGAUAUUAGUGUAAGGAUGGAUGAAAUAAGCUGACACGAACCUCCUUUGAGAAGGUUCUCAUUUCACGAUCGUUCUUGGAUGGUGUAUCACCUUUGGCCGAGAUUGCUUGAAACAUGGCCUAGGCUAGCUUUAUUUUUGGCCGAGACAAAUUGAGUAAAUUUAGCCAGGGGAAAUAAACUUGCUUGGAUAAAAGAAAUGGAGAAGAUAUAAAGAUGAUGGUGCCACAAACUUAAUUCCUUAACUUUUAACUCAAACAAACUUAAUUUCAUUCAGUGAAUUAGAAGUACACUUAUAGGCAAACCAUGAUGGUUCUCACGUGACUCUACCAUGAAUCAAGGCUUAUUUUUGGACUAGAUUAAUCCUAAUACAUGGCUGGUUACAUUGGAUCCCUUCCAACCAUGUUUAACACGAAAUAAUGCUAGUAAAUAUCCCACAUGGGAAUUCCUAAGUAAUUAAAUUACAAAAUGCAAAAUACUUUGAAUUUCCAUGAAGAAGUGAUGCACUUUAGUCUAGGACUCCUUGAGAAUUCGGCCAUCAUUGAAUGCAUAUGGUCCGCACGAGUUAAGGAGGCAAUUUGGACUCUGAAUUGUGCAUGUAACUUGGUUUGAUGCUGUGAACACCCAAAUUUGUCCUACAUUUACUUUUUAUUUUUAGCAUAAAAAAUAUAACACCAUUUCUAUACCCACCAGAGCAUUGGGAUAAUCAAGUUGCAGAUUAAUAUUAUUGAUAUGAGUCAUAGGCGGGUAAUGCUAAAAAAAAUCAAUUAUGUCUUCUAAAGUAAUUUACAUACAACCAGUACCCUCACAGUGGUUAUCCACUCUAGGAUGAUUAGUACAUUCAUAAGUCUCACAACACAAGGAACCUAAGCCACUUCGAUAUAGUGCAUUGACGCUAUUGCUAUGGCUAUUAAACAAUUCCAGCACCUGAUUCUCGCAGCUAAAAAAGAGGAUGGCAGUAAUAUUGUUUAUAUCAAAAGAGGAUGCCACAUUAAAAUGCUAAAACAUGGACAAGAGUUCCCAUCCCAUACUGGGUUACAUUUUCUAAAUAUUUCUCUAUGAGCAAGAAUAAAUAAUACUAAGAAACUUCAAAAGGUUCAACGCAUGAAUAUUACAUCAUUUUGUUCUUUUCCCACCAUAAGGCUACAAAUGCAAACUUAAGAUUGAAGGAAACCGCAUCCAGAUUCUAAUGAAGGGGAGUCACUUCAGCCUCGCAACCACAAGCGAAUCACGAACAAUUGAUCAAUACUGGACGUACAAGUUAUCUUCUAUGGCCAACUUCCAACUGCAAAAAAAAGGGGGAAAAAGAAAAGCAUAUGCACAAAACAAUAGAACAACACUAACAAGCUCAAAGCAGUUAAAUUAUGUUGAGGAUGAAACAAAUACACAAUCUGAUCCAGCUAUCCAAUAAUUCCCAAAUACGGUUAAGGGUCGUAAGUGCAUACCUACAACAAGCACUUAUAACUUUGUCAUCCUUAUGCUGAUACAGGAAUGUUGAGGAUCACUUGAAUAAACUCACUGCUCCAGAAUCUGCAUACGUUAUGGGACCUUAUUCAUUAAUAAAAAUGAUUAGUAAAACGUACAAAGAAUAAGAAAUGUUAAAUCAAUGAAUGAAGAGAACAAUCAGGAAGAAAUUCAAAGAGGCACAAUUAAAGUGUCAUUGGCAGCAAAAACACAUGGUAAAUAGCAGAGACAUCAAAGAAUGGAAUAUUCAGUUACAAACAGCCAUAAAUAAGGCAAUUAUUGAGCAAUUGAAACAGUGGUAAGCUGCCUGAGACCAACUCAGCAGACCCAGGAAUAUGUCAUCAGUUACGUGUGCAUUUAAUCCGCAUGAAUGAGUCAGUUUCUAAACACAAAAGUCAGUAUUAGUCCUGACUCUCAAUAGGCAACCCAGGAGACCCAGAAGGUUGGCUAUAAAAGGCAUACUAUGUCAUAAGCAGAACACACAGAGGUCCUACCAAAAAUAUUCAUAAGCUAUCUACCAUAAACACACAUAAGAAGAAAAAUAAAGAACGGAGAAAAUACUUGAGUAUUCAUAUUAACAUACCACACACCACAACACAGAGAAGUAAUCAGAGGUAACAACACAGCCAUAAGAAAAUCAGAGAGAAGACAAGAAAACCAGAAAAACAUACAUUGCAACGGGGGCCAAAAAAAAAGAGGAACAAUCAGCGAGAACAAUUAUCAUACACAGUCAGAGAGGAGAACACAUACAUAUCACACAUAUAUUGUGAAAUCAGCAUACCACAACCAUACACACCAUAUAACAACUAGAGAGCAAUCCCUGCAUAUACACAUAACAACUCAGAGAAUACGUAAUAUGCUGAAGUAGGCAGAAAUCAUAUAACACGUGCAUCACACAAAUUCAGGAAUAGAUACACACGGAGACGUUGCUCAGCAGAAUCAGAGGGAUAGUUCAGAGAUAAUACGGUAAAACGAUUCAGCCAAAUCGAAUUGCUACCUAAGGUUAGUAUUAAAAUCCAUAUUCGACUUCAUAAUUUUAAUGGAUUGGUGUGUUAAUGUCAUUAUUUUUUUACUGUUCCUGCACUUAAAAAAUCAGCAUACAACAUAUAUUUUAUGGUAUAAUGUCUCCUCUUGGUUGUAAUAGCCUUAUGCGACACUAUUGGCACACCCAAAUAUUAAAGUGACCUGCCCAUGUGUCCUUACGGAACCUCUUGUCUAACCAUUUGUCCCUGCCUCCUGGGUUACGUUUGUCUGACAUGUUACAGCUAAUUAUCAAUAGUUCGAAACUAAAAUAGUAAUCAAACAAGACUGUACAUCAUCAUUUUAAUAAUGCACAUAGGUUUGUGUAAUUAAAUCAGAAUGCGAUUAAACAAAAAAUGAGGUAGAUCGUUAAAGCGAUAAUAAUGGAAGCAAUGCAUCGCAGUGACCUUAAACCAAAAUAAUACAAUUCAUUUCCAGAUUAACAUCAACCCGUAUACGUUUUUUAUAUGCAUCUCAUCAAUCAAGAAUAACAUGCUAUAAAAGAAACGUAAAUAUCAAUAUGAGGGAUAUGGUCCCUUACCGAUUUCCCGCGGAUCUAUGAUUCCAUGAUUGAGGGAUAGGUCCCAAAACCUAAUCAAGCAUGUGAAGUGAUGUAAUGGGUCUCAGGGGCAUCGUGUUCCCUCUUGGACAGAGACUCAUCUUGUUGCAUUGUGAGAAGGGAAGCCUCGAAUCGGAAAGCCAUCGCAAACCACCACCGCUAUUGGACCACCGUGAACCACCAUAAACCGCCCCCAUCAGAACCUUCGGCUAUCACCGUGGAUCCCUCCAUUCCCACGUCUGGACCGUCGGCACCGAGGAAGAAGACGGAUUCCACCUAUUGGGCCACCGCGUGGGAGAAGAUGAGGAUGAGGGUUUUUCACCUCCUGGGAUUAAUCCCCAUUUCUCUUCCUUGUUUUUUUAUUAAAUGGAGGGGGUGCCGUGAAACCCCUCCAAAUUAACCUCUUUCAUUUAUUUUUUUAUUUUUUAUUUUUGUUUUAUUUACUCAAGUAAAUUUAUUUAUUUAUUCUAUUACAUCAAUUAAUUAUUUAUCUUGGCAAGUUGAAUUGAAAUGAACGUUAAUCAAGUGGGUUUCAUACUAACUCUUGAAUAAAGAUCACAUAUCUUAUCCCAAAUUAUAUUAACAUUUGCUUAAUAAAAAUAAUAAAAUUUUUUGUUACCAAAUUAAUUUUAUGAGACUUUUAUAGUGAGGUUAUGGUUCGAGUCGUCUCUAACUUCUCUGAGAAUGGGAAGAAGGUCUACGACCAACACCGUCUCUAAGCUAUUAAAUUUCUUANNNNNNNNNNNNNNNNNNNNNNNNNNNNNNNNNNNNNNNNNNNNNNNNNNNNNNNNNNNNNNNNNNNNNNNNNNNNNNNNNNNNNNNNNNNNNNNNNNNNGUUAUGGUUCGAGUCGUCUCUAACUUCUCCAAAAAAUGAGAAGAAGGUCUACGACCAACACUAUCUCUAAACUAUUAAUUGCAUAUAUGUUCAUAAUUAAAAGCUAUUUUAUCAUUAAAUUCUAUACGCAUAAAAAAUUAAAAAUUAUAUUAUCAAAUUAAUUAAGGAAUUCUUAUAGUAAGGUUAUGGUUCGAGUUGUCUGUAACUUCUCCAUAAAUGAGAAGAAGGUCUACAACCAACGCCGUCUCUAAACUAUUAAUUCUAUAUAAAUAGUUAAAAACUAUUUUACCAAAUAAAUUUCAUGAGAUUUUAUAGUGAGGUCAUGGCCUCUGAAAAUGGGAAGAAGGUCUAUGACCAAUACCGUCUCUAAAACUAUUGGUCUCAUUGAAUCGAAACACUUACAUAUUUUGAACACAAUUCAAAUUAACCAAUUCAAUAAACUAAUACUUCUAAAACCUAUCGGUAUUUUCCAAAUCAAUAAUAACUAAUCAAAGUAGCUAAACAUUUUUUGAACUAGAACUACGUAAGCCUUGAUCCCCUUAAUAGGGGUACGUAGGACCAAAGUCAAUAUUGUCAGGCUCAAUAAUAAAAAAUAACUAAUUCUAAAUAAAUAAUUCUUAAGGGUAUAAAAGUCCAUGUUAUUAGCGAGGGUACCGUUUUAAUACGGGCGGACGGGGUGCUAAUACCUUCCCCGAUCCGUAAUCGACUCCCGAGCUCAGAAUCUCUGCUUAAAGACCAUAUUAUCCUAAUUGGGCUUACUAUAGAGUUUUCUACGUUUUAACCGCAAAAAACGUAGUGGCGACUCCAAAUCAAUCGGGAGAGGUAGAAAUCGAGUUCGUCUCCUCCCAAGUCGUAGAGCCGGUCUUCCAACCGAAAAUCGGGUCGCGACAGAUGCUUUGCACGAAACUUACACCCAUAUUUAUCAAGCUUGAGUUCCCCAUUCAUAUGAAUUAAUUGAGAAGAGAACUUGCACGAAAAUCACAUCCCUAAUUAAUCAUUCUUGAGUUCCCCAUUCGGAUGUAUUAAUUGAGUGUAGGCUUUGCACGAAAAUUAUAAUCUUCAUUUAUCAAUCUGGAGUUCCCCAUUUGGAUGCAUUAAGUGAGUGCACGAAACUCACACCCUCAUUUAUCAUGCUUGAGUUCCCCAUUCGGUUGUAUUAAGUGGGUGGAGGCUUUGCACGAAAAUCAUAUUCUUCAUUUAUCAAUAUGGAGUUCCCCAUUUGGAUGCAUUAAGGGAGUGCACGAAACUCACACCCUCAUUUAUCAUGCUUGAGUUCCCAAUAUUGUGCAUUAAGUACAACCUCUCUCCAGCUUUUAAUGAUGUUGAAUGAAGUUAAUGUUAUGGUCCCCACGAGUUUAAGGCAUCCUCUAUUUUGAAUUCAAAUAAAUAAAAGUAAGUUAGAACUAGUAAAAACAAUUAGGACACAUUAAAGAUGUCCUAGCCAUGCCUUGGACACGACCUUGGCCCAAUUUAGCUGUUUGGGAAUUAUUUUCUCCAUUCCAGCCAAUAUGCAAAGUCACAUAAUGAAUGAAGUGAUGACUCCCUUGAAUUGAACGUGGAGCAUUCUCCUUGAUGCCUUUCAUGAGUAGUCCUAGUGCAUUUUGUGCUCUUUUGGUCCUUGACCUUGUCAUGAGACCACCAAUGCCUCUUAGUUCAUCAUGAUCCAAUUUUGUCUCAUUUGGGUUCACAUCAUAAGCAUAACAUUCAUACAUUGAGAUCAUGGAUAUUGAUCCUCAUGAUCUUUGUUAUAAUAUCAUUCAUCAUUGUGCAUUUAUGUAUGAGAUAUAUAUUGUGUAUAUUAUGCGUCCCUAUCUGGAUUCUGUGUAAUUCUAUGUCGUCAAUGAAUAAUAUUAAUUAGAUGUCUUACACUCUUUUCUUUCUGUUUUUCUUCGGUUCGCGUUCUCAUUCAAAUGGACUGUACCGCAAGGAUUCGGAGCUACUGAUUCUUGAUGUCCUAGGAGGGGACAUGGAGCAGUGACAGACACCGAUAAACCUACACAUGCCCUUUUGCCUUAAAGCUGGAGAUGGUUUGUGAUGACUCUACUACGUGUUUCCCUUCACAUCAUGCAAACUUGGAGGCAUCUUUCAUUUUACAUGCUCGGAGAUUUGCACAUGUUGUACCAUCCAUUCCGUCUGUGAUUCCUCACGGACCCGUUGUUGCGAGACCAUCUACUAGGAGACGGAGUUGGGAUGACUUGCUCAAUUCCCUACCACGGAGGAGAGCUGCUCGACGGACGCUUCCCGGUCUUCAGGCAGACGCGGGAGCGGGAAGUAGGUCGCAUGGUGCAUCCAAUGACCCGGAAGAGGAGAUGGAGGAUGAAGAGGAGGAGAUGGAAGCCGAAGAGGAGAAUUGUGUGGAGUUAGUCUGUAUAGAGGACUCCAUAGAGGUGGUGAACCUCUUCUACAAUUCUGAGACGGGGGAGGACCCCAAUGAGUGUUCUAGUACACCCUUUAACACCAAAGCUAGUCACUUGUAGUCAUUUCCAUUUCUAGUUUCCCUUGAGGCGGGUAUCUAUGUAGGGUACUUUUGAUGUUUUGAAUAAAUCAGUCUAUUGUGUGUAUUUUCAGUUUGGACAAGGAUUUAUUCCGCUUUGUUUUUGCAUAAACAUUUUCAGUUGUUUCCAAUAAAGAAUUAUUCCAUGAUAUAUUAAGUGGAGUGUAGUUACCAUUAGGUAACGAUUGUUGUCUUUUCCACAAUUUAGGUUACUUAACAUGAUGUCCCCAAAAUGAGUCAAAUGUAAAUGAAAAAGUUUUACAUAAAUUUUUUUUUACCCAUUUUUGGCCAAUAUUGUUAGAGUAAUUUUCGAGUUGUUACACAUGUUAGCUAUUUAUUAUGAUCUGGUAGAGCACUGUAUUGAGGUGUUUAUGGAUGACUUCAUAGUUUUUGGGUCAUCAUUUGAUAGUUGCUUGGCAAAUCUGGAUAUCAUACUGAAGCGAUGUGUUGAAACCAAUUUGGUUUUGAAUUAGGAGAAGUGUCACUUCAUGGUGACUGAGAGAGUGGUCCUGGGACACAAGAUAUCUUCCCGGAGUAUUGAAGUUGACAAAGCAAAAGUUGAGGUCAUCAAGGAGUUUCCACCACCACUCAAUGUCAAGGAAAUCAGAAGUUUCCUUGGCCAUGCAGGUUUUUAUAGACGUUCCAUAAAGGACUUUUCUAAAAUUGCAAAACCACUCAGUAAUCUACUUAACAAAGAUACUAUUUUUCAAUUUGAUGAUGAGUGUGUAAAAACUUUUGAAACUCUAAAACAAAAACUCAUUUUUGCUCCUGUCAUAGUAGCUCCCGACUGACACUUAGACUUUGAGCUAAUGUGUGAUACCAUUGAUUAUGUUGUUGGGGCGGUACUUGGAUAAAGAAAUCUAAGGUUUUCCAUGCCAUACAUUAUGCUAGCAAAGUACAAAAUGAGGCACAAAUCAACUAUGCCACACCAGAGAAAGAAUUGCUAGCAAUUGUGUAUGCUUCGGAAAAGUUUAGAUCUUACUUGAUUAGAUCCAAGGUCAUUAUUCUUAUUGAUCAUGCUGCUAUUAAAUAUUUUCCAACCAAAUCGGAUUCAAAACCAAGAUUCUUGCGAUGGGUGUUAUUGUUGCAUGAAUUUGAUUUGGAGAUCAAAGAUAAGAAAUGGAGCGAAAAUUGUGUGGUAGAUCACCUAUCAAGGUUGGUCAAUCAAGAGGUGACAGUAAAAGAAACUGAAGUGGUGGAGGAGUUUCCAGAUGAGAAACUUCUCAUGAUUCAAGAAAGGUCAUGGUUUGCUGAUAUGGUCAAUUUCAAAGCUGCAAGGGUGAUCCCCGAUGAGUUCAAUUGGCAUCAAAAGAAGAAAUUCUUAAGAGACUUUUGUCAGUAUGUUUGGGAUGACCCUCAUAUUUUCAAGAUUGGGUCUUUUGGAUUGUUGAGGCGGUGUGUUUCAUCAGUAGAAGCCAAAAGUAUUCUAUGGCAUUGUCACAGUUCGCCAUAUGGAGGACACUUCAGUGGAGAUAUGACAACUGCCAAAGUCCUCCAAUCUGGUUUCUAUUGGCAUGCAGUGUUUGAUGAUGCACAUCACUUUGCUCAACAAUGUGAUAAUUGACAGAGAUUAGGCGUGAUCUCUAAGAGAAAUGAAAUGUCGCUGUCCAAUAUUCAAGAGAUUGAGCUUUUUGAUUGUUGGAGAAUAGACUUUAUGAGAUCAUUUCCACCAUCACACUCACAUUUAUACAUACGUGUGGCGGUGGAUUAUGUGUCCAGGUGGGUUGAAGCUAUAACUGCACCAAGGGAUGAUGCCAAAACUUUAGUGACAUUCUUGAAGAGAAAUAUAUUCAAUUGGUUUGGCACACCUCAGGUUCUUAUUAGUGAUGGAAGUUCACACUUCUGCAAUUCACAACUUAAGAAGGCCCUUCAACAUUAUGGAGUCCGGCACAAGGUGGCAUCUCCUUACCAUCCAUAGACAAAUGGACAAGCGGAUAUAUCCAACAGAGAGAUCAAAAGAAUCCUUGAGAAGACUGUCUCAACCUCAAGAAAGGAUUGGUCUCUCCGACUAGAUGUUGCACUAUGGGCUUAUAGAACAUCAUUCAAGGCACCCACUGGUCUAUCUCCUUAUCAACUGGUUUAUGGAAGGGCAUGUCAUCUCCUGGUGGAGCUUGAACAUAAAGCAUAUUGGGCAUUGAAAUUCUUCAAAAUGGAUCAGAAGGUAGUUGGUGAGAAAAGAAAGCUACAGUUGCAAAAAUUGGAGGAUAUGAGACUCACUGCAUAUGAGUCCUCCAAGUUGUACAAGGAAAAAGUGAAAAUGUACCACGACCGAAAGAUUCGAAAAAUGAUUUUUGGCUAGGUCAGAGUGUGUUGCUGUUUAACUCCUGGAUGAAACUAUUUCCGGGAAAAUUCAAGUCCAAAUGGUUAGGACCCUUCCUAGUUAAGGAAGUCAAAUCGCAUGGGGAAAUCGAGCUAGAAGAUCCAGAAUCUUAGAGAAGUUGGAUAGUCAAUGGCCAAAGAUUGAAAUCUUACUUGAGUGGUGACGUCGAGCGGCUCACCAAAAUCAUCAACUUGUUAAGUGUUUAAACUAACAAGCGUCGAGCUAAUAACGUUAAACAAACGCUACCUAGAAGGCAAUCCAGUUUUAUUUCUUUCAAGUUGUAAUUUGUGUUUGAAAAAAAGGAACACCCACUGUGUGAUCCUCGUUCAGGCGAGGAUAUCAAGCUGAAGACCCUGAGUCACUAGGCCUGACUCAAUGGGUCUGUCUCGCUCAAGCGAGGGUAUCAGGCCCAAAUUUCUUAUUCUCUCGCUCAAGCAAGAGUCCCUCACUCAAGCGAGAGGGCACGAGCUCAAUUUUUAAAAAUGGGGAUUGGGGUUCAAACCCUUCAUUUCCCCCUUUCAAAAUCAAAAGAUAAGGAGACAAAAAUAUCCCUCAAGAGCUCCAAGCCAACUUCAUCUUGCACAUACUCACUCAAGCUUCAUCAUUCAUGAUGAGAAGAAAUACAGUGGCACAGAAAGAUCCCCCUCCUCCCAAGAAAACAAAGAGAAGAUUCACUUUAGCUCUAUUUAGACCACUGAAGUUCACCUCCAAGGAAAGGGAGGAGAGGUUUCUGAUUCUCCUCCACUGGAUGUUUGUAGCAGAACUGCGGGUCCAACUACAACCAAAUGAGUAUCCAAAGAUUACUAGCCCGCUAGAUGAGCUAGGAUGGUGGAUAUUAGCAUCUCCAAAUGAUAAAUUCGACCCUGAGGUGGUCAGAGAAUUUUAUUCUAAUGCCUACCCGUUGGAGGAGGGGGAGAAGAAUUUGCACACAAAUCCUGAGUUCGAGGCACAACAAUCAGGUAUGACAUAAAUUCCAUGAAUGCCCUGUUAAAAAACCUCCAUGACAUCCAAACUGAGGCAUAUGACUAGCACGACACACUAUUGAACCACAACGAUGGGUUUCACAAUGACACCACGACUGCACUUCUAUGCAUCCCAGGGCGGUCAUAUAUCACCAACAGUGAUGGGCUACCACUGCGAAUAUAUAGAAAGCACAUGAUUACUCUGGCAUAGAUCUGGAUGAUCUUUUUGCUGCACAAUGUCAUUCCAAAUAGUCAUGUGUCUUAUUUUCCCCUGAAUGAUUGUCACCUCAUGUAUAUUUCCCCCACAUCCAAGGCAACCAAUUCAACGUUGACCCUAGUGAGCAAAAGCCACGUCAACACGGUCAUGGGUGAAAUAGCUUAUAGUUAUGGUUGUCGGCAACUUGGAGAAGAUGUUAUCUUGGCGAGCUUGACAUGCCGCUUCUGCAUAUGAAAUGACCAUGCUUAACAUGCUCUGAGUAUUAUCAUGGGUAUGUUGUGGCACAUUAGGAUUCGAAGAAGCAACAUGUGGUGUUGUAGAAGGUUACGAGAUCUUGGGUUGAAUUUAAUGAGAGUGUAUGAAACAGACUAAGUAAUAUGCUUGUGAGUAGUAGGAAGCCAUGCCAUCCAUUCAACAUUUAUUGUCAUCAUAAGGAGUUCUAUUUUGGUUCUCAUCCCCAAAAUAUGCACUGAGGUUGGAGAAAGAACUUUUUGACUCUUGCUUACUUUUUUCUUUUGUCUCACAUUCCCUCUCCUUUCACUUUCUCUUUUUCCUUUUCUUAUCUCUCUCAACGUCUGGCCACACCUCAUGCUUUGUAACUUCACCUCUUAGUAAUAGAUUUGACCAAAAUCUUAUGCCCUUUUAGUUUCUUUUUCAACGUUAUGACUUGCAUUCCAACUCUUCCAUUUUGAAACUAUCGUGGGUGAAGAUAGAUGAAGUGGUAUGAGAUAGGGAGUUUAUUGUUUAACCUCUCCUUACCUUGUAACGUGCAAGAAUAAUGAAAAGAAGUAGGUGACCUUGUUUUCCUCACUUUAAUUAAAUGUGACUUUUCUCACCCUUAUCCUAAGAGUUUUUACUAAUGAAAAAUGAAAUAUUGGUUAAAAUGAGUUUUAUUAAAAAGUGAAACGGUAUGAAUUUAAAACCAAACCGACGAUUAAUAACUUGAAAUGAAAUCGUUGGAGUUGGAUAAUCACCGGUUAUAAUUCGAAGAUAAAACUAUUCAUGAUUAAAAAUAUAUUUUUUAAUUCUCUUGUUGUUUUACAUUUUUUUUGUUAUAAAUAGGACGGACGCAAUUGAGUGUUCACAUUAAGCAAUAAGUUAGGGAUGACUUGAACCAUCAUUAUAUUAUAUAAAUCCAUAAAAUUCAUUUGUUAAGAAAUAAAUUGAUUUAAAAUGAAAUUAAUAUCAUAAAGACAAUAUUGGUUAUAGACCUUCCUCUUAUAUUAAGCACGAAGUUUAAAAUGACUUCAACCAUGACCGUACUAUAAAAAUUUCAUUUUAAAUAUUUAAAUAAUUCUUUUUUAUUGUUAAAUGAUUCAUUUUUAUUAAAACAAAAAAUUAAUGUAAUUUAGGAUAAAGUAUAAAAUAUAUUAAUUAAUAUUCAUUUUAUUACAAGAUUAAAAAAUACACAUAUACAAUGCAAGAUUUUUUUACAUUGUUAAUGUAUCAUCUAUAAUUAUUUUUCAAUUAUCAUUUAUUCUUCAAAAAAAGUAACCGAAAUAAAAAAUGGAUAAUACACUAACAGUGUAUAAAUCUUUAUGCGUACAUAUACUUUACACUCUUAUUACAAUUGUCUAAACAAAUAAUAUUAGAAAUAAUAAAACAAAUAAAAUAUAAAUAAAUAAAUAAAAAGAAGAAAAAGCAAUGUUGUGAAACCAGAGCCGGACGUUAAACCCGAAGACGUCCCGUACCAGGUUUAACUGGUUUAAACAGUUAAUCCAUCUGGUCGGGCCGAAUGAUUUCAUAUAUAAUUAAUAAUGUUUAUAAAAAAAUAUAUAAUUAUAUAUAAGUGUAAAAUUUUAUAUAAUUAAUACUAAUGUAUAAUUAUAUUGAAAUAAUAUUUCUCAAUAUAUUUUGGACCAAAAUAAAAUAAAAGAUUACAAUAGUGUUUCGUUUUUUCGUUUUUUUAAUUUUAAGUAAUCGUCCGGUUUAGUUCUCGGGUUAUUCCAGUUUAACCGAAUUUAACACAGUCAGACCAGAAUUUUCUCUCAAUUCUAAGUAGUUCAACUCUCAUUCGAUUAAUAUUGAAAACCAGAGGCAAAACCGUUUUUAAAUUCAGUCAGCGGUCAAACCGGUCGGACCGCCGACUAUGCUCCGGUAUUUAAAAAAAAUAGAGUGAAGUAAAGGGGUAACCGAAUGGUGAAGAAAAGAAACACCGGUAACGAAAUCCUUAAAUCCAUUUCUUCUUCUCUCUCCGCAAGAUUGAAAGUAAUGCGGAGGAUGUUGAGUGGGACUUUGAGAGUGGCUUUUGGUCUUCACGGAAUUUGAGUAAAGCUUUCAUUGUUGGAAAUUGAAGGUAAUGAUUUUGGUUUUUUUGUUUUAUAACAGUUUUGGAAUUGAAUUUUGAAAAAUUGAAAAUUUAGGGAUAUUGGCUGCGAAAACUCAUUUGCAUUGGGCACAGUAGAAGACAGUGUGCAUUUGAUGUUGAAAUCAAAUUAUGCGGAUCCAUUGGGUUAUGAUGUUUGAUGCAAUUAUACAAUAUGUGUGUUUCCUUUGAAACUGAAUUUAGAUGCAUUGUUUCCUUCAUAAUUGCUUAAGACUAUGUUUGGGAGUUACGAGAGAGAAAAGGAAGAAGAGAGAUCGAAUGACUAGGAGAGAAAAGACAAUUCUCUCUCUUGUUUGGAAUAUAAAACUUAGACGGAAACUAAUGAUAAUGUUAGAAUAUGUCUUAUUUUUCUUUUAAAAAUGUAGAUGAGAGAGUCUUUUUUGUUUCAGAAUGCCUACUUCUCUACUGUUCUUCUAUGUGUUAUAUGUUCUCUUUCUGAUUUUUCACCCUUUCUGUCUGCCUAUGUUGUUUUUUCUUGUUUCAUGUGUGUUUUCUGUUUUUAUGUUGUGUUUCAGAGUGCUACCUCUUAUAUCAUUUCUCUGAUUUUAUAAUUAUAUACAUAUCUAUAUAGGUAUAACAUAAGUUUGUAAGUAAUUUGGUAUUUAAGAGAAAGAUGUCGUCUGAGUGUGCAUUGUGUUCAUAACUAUUUAUCCUUUAUAUUCCAAAUCAUAGUUUAAUAAUUAACACAAAGUAGUUGGUGUACAAAGUAAUUAAAAUAAAAUAUAUUUGCAUGCUUGAAAAGUGUAUUAAAAAAUUAAAGAAUGAAAUUUAAAAACUAAAUACAAGAAGUGUCAGUAUGAUAGUUUGAUAUUUUUCAAACUUUCACGAUAGCCAUACAUAAUUCUUCUUGAACACGAAAUGACCAUACUUGAACCCUAUCUCCUACUUUGAGUUGAUUAGCUUUUAUAACUUUCUUCCAAGAUGAUGACCUCAAAACAUAGCUAGAGCUAACCUUGCCAUCAUUCUUGUGCAUAUUCCAUUUGGCCAAUGUGAGAUUAGUAACUUCGAGUGAGGGCUGAAUCAGUUUCACCUCUACGCAUUUUCCUCUCUCUAAAUCAUCUAGUUCCCCUUCUCGCAAGAAAUUUUCAUUCUUGAUCUGCUUCGAAGGUAUUGAAAGCCGAUUUUGUUGUUCAUUCAAAUCUGAAUCAAACAAAGAUUUAGUAAUCAGCAAAGUGGUUUCGUUGCCGCCCAUUUCAUUUAUCUUAUCUAUGAACUCUUGCGGCAAUUCUGAUGGUGCUGCUUCAACUACUAUGUUAUAUCUUUGUCUUUUUUUGCUGCUCCUAGCUGCUGAUUUAUUUGGAGGUGGCUUUACGGGGACCCAGUCUUGAUCAAUAACAUCAGCAUUCUCUGUGCCAUUGAUAAUUGCUACAUUUUUGCCCUUCAUAGCUCUCCUUUUCAUCUUUUUUAUAGGAAGAUCUUCUUCUUCAUCAUCGUCAUUGUAGUUCAAUUCAGCUUUAGAGCUGGUUCCUUCUUCAAAGGAAGAAGCCAUGAA
Molecule: long non-coding RNA, 26614 nt
Filed under: Lupinus angustifolius (narrow-leaved blue lupine)
Lineage: Eukaryota; Viridiplantae; Streptophyta; Magnoliopsida; Fabales; Fabaceae
Description: long non-coding RNA (LANG_LNC002963)
Source: RNAcentral